CAGCGUUUUAUUUCGGACGUCCUCUUUUUUGGGAGCGGCUGGAAGGUGAAGAUAAGACCAUGGGUGGGAUGAAUCCUAAAAAUAGUUAAUGGUCUUCAGUAGUUUCGUCAUGUUCAACGACAAAAGUAGGAUCAUCGCCUGGAGAAUCCUCAUUGAUUGCGUAACCUUCAUUCAAUGCUGUGAUAACAUUGUCGUUGGAAACCGGUGUGUUUUGCACCAACGUGACCGGCUUAUUCUCCUUGAUUAAGGUGUUAAUAUCCUCAAGAAACUGCACCUUCUCUAAAAAAUCAUGUGCAGCUAACCGCUUAGUGUGUCAGCUAAUUUCCAAAAAAAAGUUGUUGCCAUCAUAAACUGGUCUUUCUCAGUUUUUGGUUUGCGGCUCUUUUUCUUUUUAUGCACUCCAAUCGGAGAGGACCUAUUCGCAAUAACAGUUGCAUCGUCCUGGCAUUCGUUUCGCCAGUGUUCUGCAAAAGAUCCUGUCGGAAUUUCGGUGUUCUCUUGAAUAUGAAAACUUAUAAUAUGGCGGCAAGGCAACUCAAACGCCAUGAAGAAGUCACAAGUACAGGCCGUCAAAUCACUUUUCAAGUGGACGAAAUCAUAGGAUUUCUUUUUCAUAAUUUUGAUGUCUUCCUCCAUUUUGCUCCACGCAUA
Long non-coding RNA from Daphnia magna, 651 nucleotides. RefSeq lists it as uncharacterized. NCBI's taxonomy places the organism in Eukaryota, Metazoa, Arthropoda, Branchiopoda, Diplostraca, Daphniidae. The record is from RefSeq and is a predicted model, not a curated record. The transcript is spliced from 4 exons.